RNAcentral lists this ribosomal RNA (491 nucleotides) under uncultured bacterium. Its description in RNAcentral is "partial 16S ribosomal RNA". It matches the Rfam family "Bacterial small subunit ribosomal RNA", at positions 29 to 507 of the family's 1533-position model. The record is from RNAcentral.
GUGAACGCUGGCGGUAGGCCUAACACAUGCAAGUCGCACGGCAGCACAGUAAGAGCUUGCUCUUACGGGUGGCGAGUGGCGGACGGGUGAGGAAUACAUCGGAAUCUACUUUUUCGUGGGGGAUAACGUAGGGAAACUUACGCUAAUACCGCAUACGACCUACGGGUGAAAGCAGGGGAUCUUCGGACCUUGCGCGAUUGAAUGAGCCGAUGUCGGAUUAGCUAGUUGGCGGGGUAAAGGCCCACCAAGGCGACGAUCCGUAGCUGGUCUGGGAGGAUGAUCAGCCACACUGGAACUGAGACACGGUCCAGACUCCUACGGGAGGCAGCAGUGGGGAAUAUUGGACAAUGGGCGCAAGCCUGAUCCAGCCAUACCGCGUGGGUGAAGAAGGCCUUCGGGUUGUAAAGCCCUUUUGUUGGGAAAGAAAAGCAGCAGGUUAAUACCCCGCUGUUCUGACGGUACCCAAAGAAUAAGCACCGGCUAACUUCGUG